Molecule: ribosomal RNA, 492 nt
Filed under: uncultured bacterium
Lineage: Bacteria
Description: partial 16S ribosomal RNA
Rfam family: Bacterial small subunit ribosomal RNA
Source: RNAcentral
AUUGAACGCUGGCGGCAUGCUUUGCACAUGCAAGUCGAACGGUAACAGGCCUUCGGGUGCUGACGAGUGGCGAACGGGUGAGUAAUGCAUCGGAACGUGCCCAGAGGUGGGGGAUAACGCAGCGAAAGCUGUGCUAAUACCGCAUGUGAUCUGAGGAUGAAAGCGGGGGACCAGGCAGCAAUGUUUGGCCUCGCGCCUUUGGAGCGGCCGAUGUCAGAUUAGGUAGUUGGUGGGGUAAAGGCCUACCAAGCCGACGAUCUGUAGCUGGUCUGAGAGGACGACCAGCCACACUGGGACUGAGACACGGCCCAGACUCCUACGGGAGGCAGCAGUGGGGAAUUUUGGACAAUGGGCGCAAGCCUGAUCCAGCAAUGCCGCGUGCGGGAAGAAGGCCUUCGGGUUGUAAACCGCUUUUGUACGGAACGAAAAGGCUCUGGCUAAUACCUGGGGCUGAUGACGGUACCGUAAGAAUAAGCACCGGCUAACUACGUG